RNAcentral lists this transfer RNA (84 nucleotides) under Gammaproteobacteria bacterium. RNAcentral describes it as "tRNA-Leu". It matches the Rfam family "tRNA". From Rfam's summary of the family: Transfer RNA (tRNA) molecules are approximately 80 nucleotides in length. Their secondary structure includes four short double-helical elements and three loops (D, anti-codon, and T loops). Further hydrogen bonds mediate the characteristic L-shaped molecular structure. tRNAs have two regions of fundamental functional importance: the anti-codon, which is responsible for specific mRNA codon recognition, and the 3' end, to which the tRNAs corresponding amino acid is attached (by aminoacyl-tRNA synthetases). tRNAs cope with the degeneracy of the genetic code in two manners: having more than one tRNA (with a specific anti-codon) for a particular amino acid; and 'wobble' base-pairing, i.e. permitting non-standard base-pairing at the 3rd anti-codon position. Lineage: Bacteria; Pseudomonadati; Pseudomonadota; Gammaproteobacteria. The record is from RNAcentral.
GCGAGAGUGGCGGAAUUGGUAGACGCGCUGGUUUUAGGUACCAGUGUCUUUGACGUGGGAGUUCGAGUCUCCCCCCUCGCACCA